GUGAUGAGAGAAUGUAGAUCUAUGCCUAAUAGCACAUGCAGCUGGUACCAAUGCUGUGGUCACCAUCCCAUUGCUUUCACCCAAAUGUCAAUCACUUUUCCCUACUGGAUAAUUCUAAUCAACGAAUUUAGAGUAUAAUCUUCACCAAAACACAUGCUGCUCAUCGAAAAGAGAAAAGUUGUGAUCAAGUACUUACCUGGGGCUAUCCCUUUGAACAGUUAACAUCACAUUUCAAUCAGUGUUUUUGGUGAGAGCAAAUAUCAAAUCGACCAGCCAACAAGAGCGACCUUUGAAACGAGACGACGCCC
RNAcentral lists this long non-coding RNA (308 nucleotides) under Salvia miltiorrhiza (redroot sage). RNAcentral's name for it is "long non-coding RNA (SMIL_LNC006045)". The record is from RNAcentral. Lineage: Eukaryota; Viridiplantae; Streptophyta; Magnoliopsida; Lamiales; Lamiaceae.